CUUGUUGAGGGCAGAAGCUGUGUGAUUGGCUUCUUUAUGCAGUGGGAACCUGGCCCAGUGCCUUGUGUAUGGGAACCACUUGCCAUAUUUUAGCUGAGUGAACAAAUCUAUAAAUGACAAGUACUGAGAUUCUUUAUGGAGUGCACAUUGACUAGUCAUGGUCAAGAUCUCCUUUUGGAUUCAGGUGACAGCAGGAAGAGCAUGGUCUAAUAAACAGAGAAGGCUCAGGAGGGUCAGAAACACGGUGCCUCAUUUCUCAGCCUACUUGCCAAGAAUUCCCAAAAAGGAAGCACUGGAGGAUCAUUCCAAGGCUUGAGGUCCAGGACUACCCACUUCCCUUGGAAUGGUGUUGCCAUCACUGUUCUGGCACCGGAGGUAAGGAUUCUACAUCGUUAGGAGAAAAGAAAAAGGAGAAUUUGGGCUUGCACUGAGAGGAUUACCUUUGGUGGUCUGGAAGUGGUGGCUGCACAGGGAGCAUGGCUGGGAGGCCUCAGGAAACUGACAAUCAUCAGUAGAAGAUGAAGAGGAAGGAGGCGCAUCUUACAUGGCCAGAGAAGGAGGAAGAAUAAGAAGGGGUUCCUUGACUUUGGCCUUCAGUCCUGACUUAAUUUCUUUGCUUAUGGGUAAAACAAGGAAUUCCUGUCACACUGCCAACAUCACCCCCUUUCUUCUCACCCCAAGGAGAGUGCAGAGAGGAGGCGAGACCAAGCCUGCCCAGAGUUGGAGUCUUGAGACGUGAGAUUCUCCAGCUGGAGCCCUAUAAAUUGGACUGACAAAAGACAGAUUAGCAAGAGAAAUGCAAGCAGCAGUUUAUUAACAUGUGCAUCAUGAUUACACAUGGAAGUACCCAGAGCAGGUCAUAAGACCUCAUGUGACAAGUGCCCUCCUUACUCCCAGAGAAAAGGAAGGAAGACACAGAAACACCACGAAGAAUAUGGACAAACAGACCUUGCUAAGUUCCCCCCCAUUUAUUACCAUGACAUCAUACUCCCUUUGUCCAAUCACACUUUCAUCAAACCUGAGCAUGAAAAUACACAGGUUUCUCUGUUUGGGGGGUGGGUCUUCAUUUUUGAAGUUUCCAUGUCAUGUAAAACUUAUAUUAAAGAAAUGUGUAUGUUUUACCCUUGUUAAUUU
This 1134-nucleotide long non-coding RNA is filed under the name Homo sapiens (human). RNAcentral describes it as "HSALNT0101757". Lineage: Eukaryota; Metazoa; Chordata; Mammalia; Primates; Hominidae. The record is from RNAcentral.